This is a long non-coding RNA of Lepidothrix coronata (blue-crowned manakin), 404 nucleotides long. RefSeq lists it as uncharacterized. NCBI's taxonomy places the organism in Eukaryota, Metazoa, Chordata, Aves, Passeriformes, Pipridae. The transcript has 3 exons. The record is from RefSeq and is a predicted model, not a curated record.
CUACUGAAGUUGAGAUGCACCUCUUUGGUGUCAACUGCUUUGCCUGUUUCUGUUUCAACAUGUGUUGUGUUUGUCCAUAUGUGUUUUCCAUGGAUCUGAUAUUACAUAAUCAUUUUUAUUGCCCACAGUUCUGUUUACCACCUAAGCCAGAGUUCUACAAGUGUGGCGAGCCAACAUCCUUUGCAAGCAAGAAUCUGCCUCAGGAUCUAAAUAUUGCCACCCUCUGUUCAUCGCCAAAGUAGCAUAAUCACAUUGGAAGGCUUCCCCAUACUGUAGAUCCUCAGGGAUCUCACUCCUUAUCGGAGGAGGCCAGCACGAUGUGUCUUAGAAGGGAAGAUGUUCCACACACUAUUCUCCACUUGGAUUCCGUAAGGGCUUUCUGCUGAUGAACAGAAUAGAAUCAC